UACGGAGGGUGCAAGCGUUAUCCGGAUUCACUGGGUUUAAAGGGAGCGUAGGCGGACUUGUAAGUCAGUGGUGAAAUCUGUGGGCUUAACCCACAAACUGCCAUUGAUACUGCAGGUCUAGAGUACAGUUGCCGUUGGCGGAAUAUGACAUGUAGUGGUGAAAUACUUAGAUAUGUCAUAGAACACCGAUUGCGAAGGCAGCUAACGAAGCUGUAACUGACGCUGAGGCUCGAAAGUGCGGGGAUCAAACAGG
Molecule: ribosomal RNA, 253 nt
Filed under: uncultured bacterium
Lineage: Bacteria
Description: partial 16S ribosomal RNA
Rfam family: Bacterial small subunit ribosomal RNA
Source: RNAcentral